UUUUUUUUGUUUUGAAAAAAUAUAUACCUCGUUUUUUUUUUACGAAACAAAAUACUAUUACUCUAUUAGUGUUACUUUUUAUUUUUUAUUUUUUUUGAGGUAAGUGUUAUUUUCUUUAUUCUCUGUUAUUAGUAUUACUCUAUUAGUGUUACUUUUUUUUUUGUUUUUUAGGUAAAUGUUAUUUUCUUUAUAAAGUGGAAACACUUAAAUGAUAAUAAAUAUAAGAUAAAAUUUUAGUGAAUAAAAUUUAAUUUAA
This 256-nucleotide long non-coding RNA is filed under the name Medicago truncatula (barrel medic). RNAcentral describes it as "long non-coding RNA (MTRU_LNC001279)". The record is from RNAcentral. Lineage: Eukaryota; Viridiplantae; Streptophyta; Magnoliopsida; Fabales; Fabaceae.